Molecule: non-coding RNA, 1422 nt
Organism: Sarcophilus harrisii (Tasmanian devil)
Lineage: Eukaryota; Metazoa; Chordata; Mammalia; Dasyuromorphia; Dasyuridae
Source: the annotation of a RefSeq genome assembly
GUACACAGUUGCAUUAACAUAAAGACUUUCAAUAAACCUCAUCUACCCUGAAAGAACUUCAAAUGCAUUGAGUUUAUCAGUACAACAGUACAUGGAAGUGUUGAACUGGCUGAGUGGCAGAUUCAGAAAAAUUCAACUGUCUUUAUUAUUCGGGUAACUGCUGGCUGCAUUUGAAACUAGGAUUCUGUAAACAAAAUUUUAAAAUAUGAGUACUGAAAGAAUUUUUGCAAAAGUGCUGAUUGGGCUUCUCUUGGUCUCCGUUUUGAGGGGGUCAAGAUCCCAAAAUAAGGUGGAACAGAGUCCUCGGCUACUGACUGUGAAGGCAGGAGAAGAUUCCACCUUCAAGUGCAGUUACAAGAUAACCCCUUUUAACAACUUGCAGUGGUUCAAACAGUCUCCAGGAAAAGGCCUUGUCUUCCUGACAUUUACUCGUUUUUCUGAUGAAACAAAAUCAAAUGGAAGAUUCAAAGCCACAAUCAAUGCUACCUCUGAAGAGGGCUACCUGCGUGUUACAAGCUCCCAAUCUAAAGACUCAGCCACCUACUUCUGUGUGGCAAGCGCACAGUGUUUCUGAGCCACCUGCAACCUGCACCAAAAUUUUGAAUCUAUAGCUCCAAUACUACUCUUUGCCUUAUGUGAUAGGCAAUAAUAGCUAAAUAAAGCAUAAUAAUAAUUUGUUAUAAAACAUGAAAGUUAUUAUAGAAGCAAAGCUCAAUUUAGUACUAUUAAAAUACGUUGUAUUUAUAAUUAUGUUCCUCUAUAUAGACAUAUUAUAUACCCAUUAUACCAUAUUGCCUCCUAUAUCUGUGAAUAACUAGUUUUUUAGCUAUUGUCCAUCACACAUGGAAGAAAAUGGGAUGGGCAGAGAACUCUAGCUUCUGUGAGAAUGGUAUGAAGACGAAUAGUGAAGUGGAAAAGAUACUGAGUUUGAUUAAAAUCCCAUUUAUGCCAUUUGUUUCUUAUAUGGCCUUAGACAAUUAACCUCUUUUCAUAUAGUCAUUACAAACACAAAGAGUUAGAAGGAAGACCUGAGGAUUGGUGAAAUGGAGGUGGGGGGUAGUAUAGUAGCAAGAGGAAGGUAUGAUGAUAAAAAGAGGGCAGUUUUAUUGUGGGUAAAGUCUCAGCAUGGGUAGGACAAUAUGGUAUUUCAUAAAGCAAUUAGGAGACAGUGAAUUAUGUGGUUUCUUCCAUUCUUUUGAAACUGGCUUUAACUAUCCAGUUCCCAGCCUUCAGCUUCUCCAAGGCUCUAGCUCAGUUCUAUCAAAAUGUUCUUUUCUUAGGACUCACAUGAACAAAAAUGUUUUUGGCAGCCCCUUUUGUAGUGACAAGACACUGGAAACUGACUGCAUGUCCUUCAGUUGGGGAAUGGCUGAAUAAGUUACAAUAUAUGAACACAACGGAAUAUUGUUGUUCUGUAAGAAA